This 447-nucleotide ribosomal RNA is filed under the name uncultured bacterium. RNAcentral's name for it is "bacterial SSU rRNA". It matches the Rfam family "Bacterial small subunit ribosomal RNA", at positions 330 to 793 of the family's 1533-position model. The record is from RNAcentral.
CCCAGACUCCUACGGGAGGCAGCAGUGGGGGAUAUUGCACAAUGGGGGGAACCCUGAUGCAGCAACGCCGCGUGAGUGAAGAAGUAUUUCGGUAUGUAAAGCUCUAUCAGCAGGGAAGAGAAUGACGGUACCUGACUAAGAAGCCCCGGCUAACUACGUGCCAGCAGCCGCGGUAAUACGUAGGGGGCGAGCGUUAUCCGGAUUUACUGGGUGUAAAGGGAGCGUAGACGGCUGGUCAAGUCUGAAGUGAAAGCCCGGGGCUUAACCCCGGAACGGCUUUGGAAACUGAGCAGCUAGAGUGCUGGAGAGGUAAGCGGAAUUCCUAGUGUAGCGGUGAAAUGCGUAGAUAUUAGGAGGAACACCAGUGGCGAAGGCGGCUUACUGGACAGUAACUGACGUUGAGGCUCGAAAGCGUGGGGAGCAAACAGGAUUAGAUACCCUGGUAUG